CAGUAGCCACGGGAACACGAAGGGGGCUAGCGUUGCUCAGAAUGACUGGGCGUAAAGGGCGCGUAGGCGGUUUGUACAGUUGGAUGUGAAAGCCCUGGGCUCAACCUAGGAAUUGCAUUUGAUACUGUUUGGCUUGAGUUCGGGAGAGGUGAGUGGAAUUCCCAGUGUAGAGGUGAAAUUCGUAGAUAUUGGGAAGAACACCAGUGGCGAAGGCGGCUCACUGGACCGACACUGACGCUGAGGCGCGAAAGCGUGGGGAGCAAACAGGAUUAGAUACCCGAGUAGUCCCUGUCUCUUAUAC
This 301-nucleotide ribosomal RNA is filed under the name uncultured bacterium. RNAcentral's name for it is "partial 16S ribosomal RNA". It matches the Rfam family "Bacterial small subunit ribosomal RNA", at positions 509 to 807 of the family's 1533-position model. The record is from RNAcentral.